This 593-nucleotide ribosomal RNA is filed under the name uncultured bacterium. RNAcentral describes it as "bacterial SSU rRNA". It matches the Rfam family "Bacterial small subunit ribosomal RNA", at positions 8 to 612 of the family's 1533-position model. The record is from RNAcentral.
AGAGUUUGAUCAUGGCUCAGAGUGAACGCUGGCGGCGUGCCUAACACAUGCAAGUCGAACGAGAACGGAUUACAGCUUGCUGUAAUUGUCAGCUAAGUGGCGCACGGGUGAGUAAUAUAUAGUUAAUCUGCCCCAAAGAAGAGAAUAAUUGUUGGAAACGACUUGUAAUGCUCUAUAUGCCUUUAUCACAUAAGUGAGCAAGGGAAAUAUUUAUAGCUUUGGGAUGAGACUGUACGGUAUCAGCUAGUUGGUGAGGUAAUGGCUCACCAAGGCUAUGACAUCUAACUGGUUUGAGAGGAUGAUCAGUCACACUGGAACUGAGACACGGUCCAGACUCCUACGGGAGGCAGCAGUGGGGAAUAUUGCACAAUGGAGGAAACUCUGAUGCAGCAACGCCGCGUGGAGGAUGACACAUUUCGGUGCGUAAACUCCUUUUAUUAGGGAAGAUAAUGACGGUACCUAAUGAAUAAGCACCGGCUAACUCCGUGCCAGCAGCCGCGGUAAUACGGGGGGUGCAAGCGUUACUCGGAAUCACUGGGCGUAAAGAGCAUGUAGGCUGGAGAUUAAGUUGGAGGUGAAAUCCUAUGGCUCAA